This 226-nucleotide long non-coding RNA is filed under the name Mytilus galloprovincialis (Mediterranean mussel). The record is from RNAcentral. Lineage: Eukaryota; Metazoa; Mollusca; Bivalvia; Mytilida; Mytilidae.
GUCUCAUAAGUCAAUUUGUUUGGCUGGGUGUUGAUUAUUUUAAAUAUUGUAUAUGUUUUACUGUACAUUGUUCAGCUGUUAAUCAAUACGUGACACUUUAAUAAAAUAAUUAUUAUAUAUAUAACGCAAAAUGCGUUAUAACGAAAAGGUUUGCGUAAUAUCGCAAUGGUUUGCGUUAUAUCGCAAAGGUUUGCGUUGUAACGCAAAGGUUUGCGUUUAACGCAAA